Molecule: ribosomal RNA, 177 nt
Filed under: uncultured bacterium
Lineage: Bacteria
Description: partial 16S ribosomal RNA
Rfam family: Bacterial small subunit ribosomal RNA
Source: RNAcentral
UAAUACGAAGGGGGCUAGCGUUGCUCGGAAUCACUGGGCGUAAAGGGUGCGUAGGCGGGUUUUUAAGUCAGAGGUGAAAUCCUGGAGCUCCACUCCAGAACUGCCUUUGAUACUGAAAGUCUUGAGUAUGGGAGAGGUGAGUGGAACUGCGAGUGUAGAGGUGAAAUUCGUAGAUAU